Molecule: ribosomal RNA, 432 nt
Filed under: uncultured bacterium
Lineage: Bacteria
Description: partial 16S ribosomal RNA
Rfam family: Bacterial small subunit ribosomal RNA
Source: RNAcentral
AACGAACGCUGGCGGCAGGCCUAACACAUGCAAGUCGAGCGCGCCCUUCGGGGUGAGCGGCGGACGGGUGAGUAACGCGUGGGAACGUGCCCUUUUCUACGGAAUAGCCUCGGGAAACUGAGAGUAAUACCGUAUACGCCCUUUGGGGGAAAGAUUUAUCGGAAAAGGAUCGGCCCGCGUUGGAUUAGGUAGUUGGUGGGGUAAUGGCCUACCAAGCCGACGAUCCAUAGCUGGUUUGAGAGGAUGAUCAGCCACACUGGGACUGAGACACGGCCCAGACUCCUACGGGAGGCAGCAGUGGGGAAUCUUAGACAAUGGGGGCAACCCUGAUCUAGCCAUGCCGCGUGAGUGAUGAAGGCCUUAGGGUUGUAAAGCUCUUUCAGCUGGGAAGAUAAUGACGGUACCAGCAGAAGAAACCCCGGCUAACUCCGU